Molecule: ribosomal RNA, 510 nt
Filed under: uncultured bacterium
Lineage: Bacteria
Description: partial 16S ribosomal RNA
Rfam family: Bacterial small subunit ribosomal RNA
Source: RNAcentral
GACGAACGCUGGCGGCGUGCUUAACACAUGCAAGUCGAACGAAGAGCGAUGGAAGCUUGCUUCUAUCAAUCUUAGUGGCGAACGGGUGAGUAACGCGUAAUCAACCUGCCCUUCAGAGGGGGACAACAGUUGGAAACGACUGCUAAUACCGCAUACGAUCUGACCUCGGCAUCGAGGAUAGAUGAAAGGUGGCCUCUACAUGUAAGCUAUCACUGAAGGAGGGGAUUGCGUCUGAUUAGCUAGUUGGAGGGGUAACGGCCCACCAAGGCGAUGAUCAGUAGCCGGUCUGAGAGGAUGAACGGCCACAUUGGGACUGAGACACGGCCCAGACUCCUACGGGAGGCAGCAGUGGGGAAUCUUCCGCAAUGGACGAAAGUCUGACGGAGCAACGCCGCGUGAGGGAUGACGGCCUUCGGGUUGUAAAGCUCUGUUAAUCGGGACGAAAGGCCUUUUUGCGAAUAGUGAGAAGGAUUGACGGUACCGGAAUAGAAAGCCACGGCUAACUACGUG